RNAcentral lists this ribosomal RNA (443 nucleotides) under uncultured bacterium. RNAcentral's name for it is "partial 16S ribosomal RNA". It matches the Rfam family "Bacterial small subunit ribosomal RNA", at positions 338 to 795 of the family's 1533-position model. The record is from RNAcentral.
CCUACGGGAGGCAGCAGUGGGGAAUAUUGGGCAAUGGGCGCAAGCCUGACCCAGCAACGCCGCGUGAAGGAAGAAGGCUUUCGGGUUGUAAACUUCUUUUCUGAGGGACGAAGAAAGUGACGGUACCUCGGGAAUAAGCCGCGGCUAACUACGUGCCAGCAGCCGCGGGAAUACGUCGGUGGCAAGCGUUAUCCGGAUUUAUUGGGUGUAAAGGGCGUGUAGGAGGGAAAGCAAGUCAGAUGUGAAAACUCAGGGCUCAACCCUGAGCCAGCAUUUGAAACUGGUUUACUUGAGUGCUGGAGAGGCAAUCGGAAUUCCGAGUGUAGCGGUGAAAUGCGUAGAUAUACGGAAGAACACCAGCGGCGAAGGCGGAUUGCUGGACAGUCACUGACGCUGAGGCGCGAAAGCGUGGGGAGCAAACAGGAUUAGAUACCCGGGUAGUC